Molecule: non-coding RNA, 819 nt
Organism: Physcomitrium patens
Lineage: Eukaryota; Viridiplantae; Streptophyta; Bryopsida; Funariales; Funariaceae
Source: RefSeq, a predicted model, not a curated record
CGUUGAAGCCAGAGAACACCAGGUGUGUAUGCGAACCUUCCUUCCUUCGAGUCCUUCCAGCGAGUUGUACCUCACAGGCAUAUCUUCAUCAGUUGCAAAACACUCUACAAUGUCAUAUUUCUAUUGACCAGCUAACCAAAUUUCUGUCAAAUGCACAAUCAAGUCGAGGGAUUUAGCAAAAAAAUCUUGCUACACUUAGAAACCAGCAAUCUAUGGAGCACCCUCUUCUUGGAGAAUUCUCAGCUGCAGUUGCACACCAGAUGGAGAUCGUGGCCCCUCCAAAGCUUUGGACUUCACUUAUCGUCAAUCAGCUGUCUAUGGUUGUAGCAUCAUCCAACACAGUGUCUGCGAAGGAGUUUGGGAUACCUUUCUUUCAAAGAUCCACAAGUGGGAAGAAGACAACUGCAUUGGUGCAGGGCAAUCUGAAACCCGCCCAGCCUGUGCCGCGCACCAAUGCCGAACCAACCUGAAGAGCAAAGUAAAGUUAGCUACCAUUCUGUUAAAUGUUGUUCAGCACCUGGUGAUACCACGGCAAUUUUUGUUUUUAUCCCCGCGUUUGUUAUCUGUAAUUGAAUUGUGCUCAUUAACUACAGUCGGGUUUCCGUUCUCCCACGCAGAGACUCUAGUUCUUGAUGCCUUCAUGUGCAGUAAACUCCAUUGCGGGGCCAAUGUCAUGUUUGCUACCUCAAGGUGGAGAAUUGUCCUUGCAAUAGGUAACUUAGCAUUUGAAAUUGCAAUAUACUAAAACUAUAAUACAACUCAGAAGUCGCCCUUCUUGUACUGCUCUCUGCAGAGAUUACAGUGCCUUUUUCUGCUGCA